GUGUCAGCCGCCGCGGUAAUACGUAGGGUGCGAGCGUUAAUCGGAAUUACUGGGCGUAAAGCGUGCGCAGGCGGCUCUAUAAGACAGAUGUGAAAUCCCCGGGCUUAACCUGGGAACUGCGUUUGUGACUGUAGGGCUAGAGUGCGGCAGAGGGGGGUAGAAUUCCACGUGUAGCAGUGAAAUGCGUAGAGAUGUGGAGGAAUACCGAUGGCGAAGGCAGCCCCCUGGGUCGACACUGACGCUCAUGCACGAAAGCGUGGGGAGCAAACAGGAUUAGAUACCCUGGUAGUCCACGCCCUAAACGAUGCGAACUAGGUGUUGGGGAAGGAGACUUCCUUAGUACCGCAGCUAACGCGUGAAGUUCGCCGCCUGGGGAGUACGGUCGCAAGAUUAAAACUCAAAGGAAUUGACGG
RNAcentral lists this ribosomal RNA (413 nucleotides) under uncultured bacterium. Its description in RNAcentral is "bacterial SSU rRNA". It matches the Rfam family "Bacterial small subunit ribosomal RNA", at positions 505 to 916 of the family's 1533-position model. The record is from RNAcentral.